UCCAGAAACAUCAAGAUGGUUUCUGGCAGUUAUCUCCUGGCCGUCAUCUUCAUUUCUAUUCAGGGAUCCUGUGGACAGAUUGUGAUGACCCAGACUCCAGAUUAUACCUCUGUGUCCCCAGGAGAUACAGUCACCAUGUCAUGUAAAGCCAGUUCUGGUAUAAGCAACUGGUUAGCCUGGUACCAACAGAAAUCAGGAGAACGGCCAAAUCUUCUUAUCUAUGGUGCAAGCAACAGAUACACAGGAGUCCCAGACCGGUUCUCUGGAUCUGGAUCUGGAACAGAUUUCACUCUGACAAUCAGAGGAGUGACAGAAGACGAUGCAGGACAUUAUUACUGUCAGAGGGGUUUGCGCUUACCUCUCACUUUUGGCAAAAAAAGUACUGUAGAGAUCAAACGAAGAGAAAACGCUGCUCCUACUUCGUUGAUGUUCUGUCCUUCUAAUGAGGAAAUGAAGACAGGAACGGUGACAAUUGUCUGUCUGAUCAAUGGUUUCUAUCCAGAAGAUGCCUCGGUGACAUGGAAGGAGGACGAUACGGCUAUCACUGCUGGAGUUCAUCAGAGUGAAAAGAUCACUGACAAGGACAAGACGUACAGUAUGAGCAGUAUGCUCAGUCUCACCAGUGAACAGUUCAAGGGCCAUGAUAGCUACAAGUGUGAGGUGCAGCACAGCGCCCUGACCUCAGUAUUGGUCACGAGCCUCAAGACGGCAGAGUGUUUGAACAGGGGUUAGCCAGUCCACCCUAAACCUAGGAGACUCUUCCCCCUGUUUUUCUAUUUAAUGCAUUCUGUGCUGUAUUUCGAUUUACAACAUAAUGCACAUUAUACUUUAUGUGCCUUGUCAUCAAAUUUUGCGAAACACAACUUUUUUUUUGUUUUAUUGUAAAUCUUCUAUCUUUUCUUGAUAUGUUAGAAAAAUAAAUAAAAAAUUAUUUGCUUCA
Bufo gargarizans (Asiatic toad) is the source of this 940-nucleotide non-coding RNA. The record is from the annotation of a RefSeq genome assembly. Lineage: Eukaryota; Metazoa; Chordata; Amphibia; Anura; Bufonidae.